Molecule: long non-coding RNA, 443 nt
Organism: Alnus glutinosa
Lineage: Eukaryota; Viridiplantae; Streptophyta; Magnoliopsida; Fagales; Betulaceae
Exons: 3
Source: RefSeq, a predicted model, not a curated record
UCAUGAUCUACGAAGAUCCAACCGUCCAAACUCAAAUCCGACUUCGGUAACGUGAUCUACAAAGUUCGAUCUACGUUUCUACCGAUCGUUUUGAGGCUUUGUGUUAUUUGGAGCUUGCAAAGAUUCCCCAAACACCGGGUAUUAUUUGGACAUUGAUGCUUUGGUUGCAGGUUCUGCGGAUAUAGAUAUUGACUUGUUCACCUAGUGUAUGAGAUGCUAUGAUUGGAGCACAUCGCGACAGUCAUAAGUUAUGGACUCAUGGGUAGUCCGUAUUUUGGGCAUUCUAUUUUUAUGGCUCUUGUUUUAUGUGGCUUAUGUAUUUAUUGAGCCCGUAUUUUAGUAUGUAAUUAGUGUAAUAUGUUUUAUAAACCUUAAAUAGAUAGACUCGUAAAUGGCUCUCGUUGUUGUAAUUAACAGUUAUGUAUUAGAUGUAUUUUCGCUUA